GAUGAACGCUGGCGGCGUGCUUAACACAUGCAAGUCGAACGAUGAAGCCCAGCUUGCUGGGUGGAUUAGUGGCGAACGGGUGAGUAACACGUGAGUAACCUGCCCUUAACUCUGGGAUAAGCCUGGGAAACUGGGUCUAAUACCGGAUAGGAGCGUCCACCGCAUGGUGGGUGUUGGAAAGAUUUAUCGGUUUUGGAUGGACUCGCGGCCUAUCAGCUUGUUGAUGAGGUAAUGGCUCACCAAGGCGACGACGGGUAGCCGGCCUGAGAGGGUGACCGGCCACACUGGGACUGAGGCACGGCCCAGACUCCUACGGGAGGCAGCAGUGGGGAAUAUUGCACAAUGGGCGCAAGCCUGAUGCAGCGACGCCGCGUGAGGGAUGACGGCCUUCGGGUUGUAAACCUCUUUCAGUAGGGAAGAAGCGAAAGUGACGGUACCUGCAGAAGAAGCACCGGCUAACUACGUG
This 466-nucleotide ribosomal RNA is filed under the name uncultured bacterium. RNAcentral describes it as "partial 16S ribosomal RNA". It matches the Rfam family "Bacterial small subunit ribosomal RNA", at positions 28 to 507 of the family's 1533-position model. The record is from RNAcentral.